GACGAACGCUGGCGGCGUGCUUAACACAUGCAAGUCGAACGGAAAGGCCCUGCUUUUGUGGGGUGCUCGAGUGGCGAACGGGUGAGUAACACGUGAGUAACCUGCCCUUGACUUUGGGAUAAAUUCAGGAAACUGGGGCUAAUACCGGGUAUGAGCUCCUGCUGCAUGGGGGGGGUUGGAAAGAUUCGGCGGUUGGGGAUGGACUCGCGGCUUAUCAGCUUGUUGGUGGGGUAGUGGCUUACCAAGGCUUUGACGGGUAGCCGGCCUGAGAGGGUGACCGGCCACAUUGGGACUGAGAUACGGCCCAGACUCCUACGGGAGGCAGCAGUGGGGAAUAUUGCACAAUGGGCGGAAGCCUGAUGCAGCAACGCCGCGUGCGGGAUGACGGCCUUCGGGUUGUAAACCGCUUUCGCCGGUGACGAAGCGUGAGUGACGGUAAUGGGUAAAGAAGCACCGGCUAACUACGUG
Molecule: ribosomal RNA, 468 nt
Filed under: uncultured bacterium
Lineage: Bacteria
Description: partial 16S ribosomal RNA
Rfam family: Bacterial small subunit ribosomal RNA
Source: RNAcentral